GAUGAACGCUGGCGGCGUGCCUAAUACAUGCAAGUCGAGCGGACGGACGAGAAGCUUGCUUCUCUGAUGUUAGCGGCGGACGGGUGAGUAACACGUGGAUAACCUACCUAUAAGACUGGGAUAACUUCGGGAAACCGGAGCUAAUACCGGAUGAUAUUUUGAACCGCAUGGUUCAAAAGUGAAAGACGGUCUUGCUGUCACUUAUAGAUGGAUCCGCGCUGCAUUAGCUAGUUGGUAAGGUAACGGCUUACCAAGGCAACGAUGCAUAGCCGACCUGAGAGGGUGAUCGGCCACACUGGAACUGAGACACGGUCCAGACUCCUACGGGAGGCAGCAGUAGGGAAUCUUCCGCAAGGGGCGAAAGCCUGACGGAGCAACGCCGCGUGAGUGAUGAAGGUCUUCGGAUCGUAAAACUCUGUUAUUAGGGAAGAACAUAUGUGUAAGUAACUGUGCACAUCUUGACGGUACCUAAUCAGAAAGCCACGGCUAACUACGUG
RNAcentral lists this ribosomal RNA (497 nucleotides) under uncultured bacterium. RNAcentral's name for it is "partial 16S ribosomal RNA". It matches the Rfam family "Bacterial small subunit ribosomal RNA", at positions 28 to 507 of the family's 1533-position model. The record is from RNAcentral.